UGCCCUAGUAACGGCGAGUGAAGCGGCAACAGCUCAAAUUUGAAAGCUGGCCUUCGGGUCCGCAUUGUAAUUUGUAGAGGAUGCUUUGGGGCAGCCGCCUGUCUAAGUUCCUUGGAACAGGACGUCAUAGAGGGUGAGAAUCCCGUAUGUGACAGGACAUGGCACCCUAUGUAAAGCUCCUUCGACGAGUCGAGUUGUUUGGGAAUGCAGCUCUAAAUGGGAGGUAAAUUUCUUCUAAAGCUAAAUACCGGCGAGAGACCGAUAGCGCACAAGUAGAGUGAUCGAAAGAUGAAAAGCACUUUGGAAAGAGAGUUAAAAAGCACGUGAAAUUGUUGAAAGGGAAGCGCUUGCAAUCAGACUUGUUUUGACUGUUCGGCCGGUCUUCUGACCGGUUUACUCAGUCUGGACAGGCCAGCAUCAGUUUUGGCGGCCGGAUAAAGGCUCAGGGAAUGUGGCUCUCACUUCGGUGGGAGUGUUAUAGCCCUGGGUGUAAUACGGCCAGCCGGGACUGAGGUCCGCGCUUCGGCUAGGAUGCUGGCGUAAUGGUUGUAAGCGACCCGUCUUGA
This 566-nucleotide ribosomal RNA is filed under the name Aureobasidium thailandense. Its description in RNAcentral is "partial large subunit ribosomal RNA". It matches the Rfam family "Eukaryotic large subunit ribosomal RNA", at positions 76 to 657 of the family's 3401-position model. The record is from RNAcentral. Lineage: Eukaryota; Fungi; Ascomycota; Dothideomycetes; Dothideales; Saccotheciaceae.